GAUGAAGAACGCAGCGAAAUGCGAUACGUAAUGUGAAUUGCAGAAUUCAGUGAAUCAUCGAAUCUUUGAACGCAUAUUGCGCUCUCUGGUAUUCCGGAGAGCAUGCUUGUUUGAGUAUCAGUAAACACCUCAACUCCCUUUUCUUUUUUGAAAUUGGAGCUGGACUUGAGUGAUCCCAACGCUUUCUUCCAAGAAAGUGGCGGGUUGCUUGAAAUGCAGGUGCAGCUGAACUUUUCUCUGAGCUAUAAGCAUAUCUAUUUAGUCUGCCUAAAAAACAGAUUAUUCCCUUUGCUGCAGCUAACAUAAAGGAGACUAGUUCUUGUGCUGACUGAUGCAGGAUUCACAGAGACAGCUUCGGCUGACUUUGUAAACUCGAUCUCAAAUCAAGUAAGACUACCCGCUGAACUUAAGCAUAUCAAUAAGCGGAGGA
This 430-nucleotide unclassified non-coding RNA is filed under the name soil metagenome. RNAcentral describes it as "partial contains 5.8S ribosomal RNA, internal transcribed spacer 2, and large subunit ribosomal RNA". The stretch from base 1 to 120 matches the Rfam family "5.8S ribosomal RNA", at positions 35 to 154 of the family's 154-position model. The record is from RNAcentral.